Cinara cedri is the source of this 330-nucleotide non-coding RNA. NCBI's taxonomy places the organism in Eukaryota, Metazoa, Arthropoda, Insecta, Hemiptera, Aphididae. The record is from the annotation of a GenBank genome assembly.
AAGUGCAUAAUACUGGAGCGCGGAAUACGAGUGAACCUAUGUGUGUAUAAUAAAUUAGUCUAAUAUUCAUAAUAUCCUCGUGUAUGUAAUUCUAAUAUUGUUUCUAAAUUUUCAAUCACUAAAAUCACACUACUCGUAUUUUGCUUCAUCUGAUAUUACCAUAAUCAUCUUAAGAGUUCUGGGUUACUCAAAUCGAAUAUAGGUACUUAUUUUAUACUAGUAUUUAUUAGUUGUACUUGGAAUAAAUUCUAUUGUUGUUGAAUUUUGUUUAACUGUGUCAAAUAACAAACGCAGGUCUUAAGUCUCUUUGACCUGUAAAAUAUAACCUAA